Molecule: transfer RNA, 88 nt
Filed under: Bernardetia litoralis DSM 6794
Lineage: Bacteria; Pseudomonadati; Bacteroidota; Cytophagia; Cytophagales; Bernardetiaceae
Description: tRNA-Ser
Rfam family: tRNA
About the family: Transfer RNA (tRNA) molecules are approximately 80 nucleotides in length.
Source: RNAcentral
AGAGAAAUGGCAGAGUGGUCGAAUGCACUGGUCUUGAAAACCAGCGUACCGUGAGGUACCGGGGGUUCGAAUCCCUCUUUCUCUGCGA